RNAcentral lists this ribosomal RNA (449 nucleotides) under uncultured bacterium. Its description in RNAcentral is "partial 16S ribosomal RNA". It matches the Rfam family "Bacterial small subunit ribosomal RNA", at positions 29 to 523 of the family's 1533-position model. The record is from RNAcentral.
AGCGAACGCUGGCGGCAGGCUUAACACAUGCAAGUCGAACGCCAUCUUCUGAUGGAGUGGCAGACGGGUGAGUAACGCGUGGGAACGUACCUUGAGGUUCGGAAUAUUCUCGGGAAACUGAGAGCAAUACCGAAUAAGCCCUUAGGGGGAAAGAUUUUCCGCCAAAAGCUCGGCCCGCGUUAGAUUAGGUAGUUGGUAGGGUAAUGACCUAGCAAGCCUACGAUCUAUAGCUGGUCUGAGAGGAUGAUCAGCCACAUUGGGACUGAGACACGGCCCAAACUCCUACGGGAGGCAGCAGUGGGGAAUAUUGGACAAUGGGCGCAAGCCUGAUCCAGCCAUGCCGCGUGAAUGAUGAAGGCCUUAGGGUUGUAAAAUUCUUUCAACGGGGACGAUAAUGACGGUACCCGUAGAAGAAGCCCCGGCUAACUUCGUGCCAGCAGCCGCGGUAA